RNAcentral lists this non-coding RNA (30 nucleotides) under Homo sapiens (human). The record is from RNAcentral. Lineage: Eukaryota; Metazoa; Chordata; Mammalia; Primates; Hominidae.
GACACCUGACUGUGAAUCUGUACCUGACCC